This 482-nucleotide ribosomal RNA is filed under the name uncultured bacterium. RNAcentral describes it as "partial 16S ribosomal RNA". It matches the Rfam family "Bacterial small subunit ribosomal RNA", at positions 28 to 523 of the family's 1533-position model. The record is from RNAcentral.
GACGAACGCUGGCGGCGUGCUUAACACAUGCAAGUCGAACGAUGAAGCCCAGCUUGCUGGGUGGAUUAGUGGCGAACGGGUGAGUAACACGUGGGCAACCUGCCCCAAACUCUGGGAUAACUCCUCGAAAGAGGUGCUAAUACCGGAUACGAAAUAGGUAGACAUCUGCACUAGUUGGAAAGUUUUUCGGUUUGGGAUGGGCCCGCGGCCGAACAGCUUGGUGGUGAGGUAACGGCUCACCAAGGCUACGACGGGUAACCGGCCGGAGGGGGCGACCGGUCACACUGGGACUGAGACACGGCCCAGACUCCUACGGGAGGCAGCAGUGGGGAAUAUUGCGCAAUGGGCGAAAGCCUGACGCAGCGACGCCGCGUGAGGGAUGAAGGUCUUCGGAUCGUAAACCUCUUUCAGUAGGGACGAAGCGAAAGUGACGGUACCUAAAGAAGAAGCACCGGCUAACUACGUGCCAGCCGCCGCCGUAA